UAUUGUGGGGGAAUGACCCCUAUUUAUAGAAAAACUUGUAGCUUUGUCACAUUGACAUGUGUCAUGUUAUGAUUGGUUCUUGAUGUCGACACGUGCUGCGCUCUGAUUGGCUUCUAAUCUUGACACGUGUCGAGUAGUGAUUGGCAUCCUGGUCGGAGGGGAACUCUUCUGGGUCCUUGACAGUAUAGCGUUGGUCGGUGCUCGGUAGUUCGGGAUUGGUCAAGUAUGG
Molecule: long non-coding RNA, 229 nt
Filed under: Malus domestica (apple)
Lineage: Eukaryota; Viridiplantae; Streptophyta; Magnoliopsida; Rosales; Rosaceae
Description: long non-coding RNA (MDOM_LNC018800)
Source: RNAcentral